This 2228-nucleotide long non-coding RNA is filed under the name Numida meleagris (helmeted guineafowl). RNAcentral describes it as "lncRNA (ENSNMEG00000002639.1)". The record is from RNAcentral. Lineage: Eukaryota; Metazoa; Chordata; Aves; Galliformes; Numididae.
GGGUCACCCUUGUUUUCUAUGGGGCGCACAUUUUCUAUGGGGCACACCCCUGUUUUCAAUGGGGCGCACCCUUGUUUCUAUGGGGCACAAAUUUUCUAUAGGGCACUCCCUUGUUUUCCAUGGGGCGCUCCCUCGUUUUCUAUGGGGCGCACCCUUAUUGCUAUGGGGCACACCCUUGUUUUCUAUGGGGCGCACCCUUGUUGCUAUGGGGCGCACCCUUGUUGCUAUGGGGCACACCCUUGUUUUCUAUGGGGCGCUCCCUUGUUUUCUAUGGAGUGCACAUUUUGCUAUGGGGCACACAUUUUCUAUGGGGCACCCUUGUUUUCUAUGGGGCGCACCCUUGUUUUCUAUGGGGCACAGAUUUUCUAUGGGGCGCACCCCAGUUUUCUAUGGGGCGCACCCCUCUUUUCUAUGGGGCGCUCCCUUGUUUUCUAUGGGGCGCUCUCUUGUUGCUAUGGGGCGCACAUUUCUUUCUAUGGGGUGCACCCACAUUUUCUAUGGGGCACACAUUUUCUAUGGGGCGCACAUUUCGCUAUGGGGCACACCCUUCUUUUCUAUGGGGCGCACCCUUGUUUUCUAUGGGGCGCUCAAUUUCUAUGGGGCACAACCUUGUUCUCUACGGGGCUCACCCUUGUUGCUAUGGGGCGCACCCUUGUUUUCUAUGGGGCACACAUUUCGCUAUGGGGCGCAGUCUUGUUUUCUAUGGGGCACUCCCUUGUUUUCUAUGGGGUGCUCCCUUGUCUUCUAUGGGGCACACAUUUCCUAUGGGUCACACCAUUGUUUUCUAUGGGGCGGACAUUUUCUAUGGGGCACACAUUUCGCUAUGGGGCGCAGUCUUGUUUUCUAUGGGGCGCACCCUCGUUUUCUAUGGGGCGCACCCUUGUUUUCUAUGGGGUGCUCCCUUGUUUUCUAUGGGGCGCACCCCUGUUUUCUAUGGGGCACAAAUUUCGCUAUGGGGCGCACCCUUGUUUUCUAUGGGGCACUCUCCUGUUUUCCAUGGGGCGCACUCUUCAUUUCUCUUGUUUUCUAUGGGGCGGACCCAUGUUUUCUAAGGGUCCCACCCCUGUUUUCUAUGGGGCGCACCCUCGUUCUCUAUGGGGCACACCCUUGUUUUCUAUGUGUCGCUCCCUUUUUUUCUGUGGGGCACAGAUCUGCUAUGGGGCUCACCCUUGUUUUCUAUGGGGCACACAUUUUGCUAUGGGGUGCACAUUUCUAUCUAUGGGGCACACCACUGUUUUCUAUGGGGUGCACCCCACUUUUCUAUGGGGCGCACCCUCGUUUUCUAUGGGGCACAUUUCGCUAUGGGGCGCACCCUCGUUUUCUAUGGGGCGCACCUAUGUUUCCUAUGGGGCGCUCCCUCGUUUUCUAUGGGGCGCACAUUUUGCUAUGGGGUGCACCCUUGUUUUCUAUGGGGCACCCUUGAUUUCUAUGGGGCUCACCCCACUAUUCUAUGGGGCGCUCUCCUGUUUUCUAUGGGGCGCUCCCCUGUUUUCUAUGGGGCGCUCCCUCAUUUUCUAUGGGGUGCACCCUUGUUUUCUAUGGGGCGCACAUUUCCUAUGGGGCGACCCUUGUUUUCUAUGGGGCGCACCCUCGUUGUAUAUGGGGUGCACCCUCGUUUUCUAUGGGGCACACCCCUGUUUUCAGUGGGGCGCACAUUUCUUUCUAUGGGUCCCACCCUUAUUUUCUAUGGGGCGCAGUGGAGGCUGUAGUACCGGCAGCGGCCGCUAGGUGGCAGCAGAGAGCGCUGAGUCCAACGCUUCCUUUGGUUUCGGCGGCGCAGGCAACGCCUGCAAUUAAUUAAUGGCUGCAGCCAAUUAAGCGCGGCGGCUGUUUUAAUUACUCCGGCCAAGAUAAUGAGCGCGCCCGGCGGACGCGUGAUGAGGAGCGUCCGAGACCCGAGAGGAGGCGGCACUUCCCCUACUGGCCGCUAUGGGGCAGCAGAGAGAGCGAGAGAAUGAUGCUAUGGGGCAGCGCUAGGGGGCAGUGCUAUGGGGUGAUGCUAUGGGGCAGAGCUAUGGGGCAGAGCUAUGGGGUGAUUCUAUGGGGCAGCGCUAUGGGGUGAUGCUAUGGGGUGAUGCUAUGGGGCAGAGCUAUGGGGCAGAGCUAUGGGGUGAUUCUANNNNNNNNNNNNNNNNNNNNNNNNNNNNNNNNNNNNNNNNNNNNNNNNNNNNNNNNNNNNNNNNNNNNNNNNNNNNNNNNNNNNNNNNNNNNNNNNNNNNNNNNNNNNN